CAACGGGUACGGGCGUUGAGAGACGUCGCCCGGAGAUGUACUCUGAGACACGAGUUCAGGCCCUACGGGGCGCAGCAGGCGCUAAAACUGCACAAUACUCGAAACAGUGAUGCGGGAAUUCCAAGUGCCAGGACAAUGUCUCGGUUGUUUUCAUGUAUAAAAAACAAGGAGAGUAAGGGCUGGGUAAGCCGGGCGCCAGCCGCCGCGGUAAUACCUGCAGCCCAAGUGGUGGCCGUUAUUAUUGGGCCUAAAACGUCCGUAGCCGGCUUGGUAGAUCCCUGUGUAAAUCGAACGGCUUCACCGUUCGAAUUGCGGGUAGACCUCCAAGCUUGGGACCGGGAGAGUCACGAGGUACUCCGAGGGUAGAGGUGAAAUUCUGUAAUCCUCGGGGGACCACCGGUGGCGAAGGCGUCGUGAUAGAACGGCUCCGACGGUGAGGGACGAAGCCCUGGGGCGCAAACCGGAUUAGAUACCCGGGUAGUCCAGGGUGUAAACGCUGUGGGCUUGGUGUCGGCAGUCCUACGGGGGCAGCCGGUGCCGGAGAGAAGUUGUUAAGCCCACUGCCUGGGGAGUACGGCCGCAAGGUUGAAACUUAAAGGAAUUGGCGGGGGAGCACCGCAACGGGAGGAGCGUGCGGUUUAAUUGGAUUCAACGCCGGG
RNAcentral lists this ribosomal RNA (659 nucleotides) under uncultured archaeon. RNAcentral's name for it is "bacterial SSU rRNA". It matches the Rfam family "Archaeal small subunit ribosomal RNA", at positions 261 to 922 of the family's 1478-position model. The record is from RNAcentral.